This 482-nucleotide ribosomal RNA is filed under the name uncultured bacterium. Its description in RNAcentral is "partial 16S ribosomal RNA". It matches the Rfam family "Bacterial small subunit ribosomal RNA", at positions 30 to 507 of the family's 1533-position model. The record is from RNAcentral.
AUUGAACGCUGGCGGCAUGCUUUACACAUGCAAGUCGAACGGCAGCGCGGGGCAACCUGGCGGCGAGUGGCGAACGGGUGCGUAAUACAUCGGAACGUACCCAGAAGCGGGGGAUAACGUAGCGAAAGUUACGCUAAUACCGCAUACGUUCUACGGACGAACGUGGGGGACCUUCGGGCCUCAUGCUUUUGGAGCGGCCGAUGUCUGAUUAGCUAGUUGGUGAGGUAAAGGCUCACCAAGGCGACGAUCAGUAGCUGGUCUGAGAGGACGACCAGCCACACUGGGACUGAGACACGGCCCAGACUCCUACGGGAGGCAGCAGUGGGGAAUAUUGGACAAUGGGCGCAAGCCUGAUCCAGCAAUGCCGCGUGAGUGAAGAAGGCCUUCGGGUUGUAAAGCUCUUUUGUCAGGGAAGAAACGGCUGAGGAUAAUACCUUCGGCUAAUGACGGUACCUGAAGAAUAAGCACCGGCUAACUACGUG